Molecule: unclassified non-coding RNA, 2026 nt
Filed under: Hevea brasiliensis (rubber tree)
Lineage: Eukaryota; Viridiplantae; Streptophyta; Magnoliopsida; Malpighiales; Euphorbiaceae
Source: RNAcentral
UCAGAAACAACAGCUUCUUCCUGUCUCUCUCUUUAACCUACUUCUAACUCAUACAUAGAAAGCAAAACCCCAGACACCCUCUUUUGUUCUUCCUACAUAUCCUGUCGCUCUUGUUUUUGGCAUGAAAGUUGAGAACAAGAGCGUGUUUCUUGAGUAGAGAGAGAGUAUUUAGUUUCUUGAUUUCUUGCGACUGCUGCUUCAUUUAUUUACGUGAAAAUAAUUAAGAGGGUAUGGCCUCUCCGUCUGAGCUAACCCUGGAUUGCAAACCCCACAGCUAUUCUAUGCUAUUGAAAUCUUUUGGAGACCAGAAUGACCAGACUCAAAAACUUGAAGAGAUUCUCUGUCGCCUUGAAGAAGAAAGGCAAAAGAUCGAUGCUUUCAAGCGCGAAUUACCCCUUUGCAUGCAACUUCUCACCAACGCUGUGGAGACUUCAAGGCAGCAACUACAAGCCUACAACGCAAAUCAAGGGCCAAGGCCAGUUCUCGAGGAAUUCAUACCACUCAAAAACUCUACUUCUGAAUCCUUGGAUAAGUCCUCAAAUAUCUCUGAUAAGGCAAACUGGAUGACUACAGCACAACUCUGGAGCCAAGAUAGCAAUGAAACCAAACCUCAAACCACAUUAACCGCUUUCCCUAGAGAAACUAAUAUAGGAUUCAGUGUUAGUUCCAAGCUGGGCUUAGACACCAAACAAAGAAAUGGAGGAGCUUUCCUUCCAUUCUCAAAAGAACGAAACUCAUGUCCAAGCCCAACCUUAGCGCUUGCUUCUACUGAGCAAGAAAUGGAAGACAAGAAAUGUUUGGAAACAGAGAAUGGGUUUUCUUGUUCAAAGAUAGGGAAUUCUGGUAAAAUUGAUAUUAAUAAUGGUGGGGUAGUUGUGAUUGAGCAAGGAAAAGGCACUGGUAAUUCAUCAUCAGAUGGGCAAGCAACAAAUACAGGGGCAGGUAAUAGUACAAAUAAUACAACUACUAGCACUACAACAAGCAGUCAAGCCCAUAGGAAGGCAAGGAGGUGUUGGUCCCCAGACUUGCACCGGAGAUUCGUGAAUGCUCUGCAAAUGCUUGGAGGUUCUCAAGUGGCCACACCAAAACAAAUCAGAGAGCUCAUGAAGGUUGAUGGUUUGACCAAUGAUGAAGUUAAAAGCCACCUGCAGAAAUAUAGGCUUCACACAAGGAGACCUAGUCCAAGCCCACAAACAGCUGGAGCCCCAACACCUCAGCUCGUCGUUCUAGGAGGCAUAUGGGUCCCGCCGGAGUAUGCCACCGCAGCUGCAGCAGCUCACACCGGGGCACCUACCCUCUAUGGCACCCACCCAGCUUCCCACGCACCGCCACCUCACUUUUGUGCUGCACCACCUGUGCCCCAAGACUUUUACACUGCAGCAACAGCUCCGUCUCCGCCGCCGCCAACUCACCACCAGAUGCACCAUCACCACCACACACUCCAACAACUCCAUAUGUACAAGGCUACAUCACAGGCUCAUAGCUCGCCGGAGUCUGACGUAAGGGGCACUGGAGACCAGUCUGAAAGCAUUGAAGAUGGCAAGUCAGAGAGCAGUAGCUGGAAGGCUGAGAGUGGCGAGAAUGGUGGAGAGAGAAAAGGGUUGGCUGCAUUGAGGGAAGAUGGUGAUGAAAGCAACGGAAGUGAGAUCAGUCUCAGGCCUCUGCGGUAUUAGGGUCAGCGUUAGGGUUUAGGGUUAGGUUAAUUUGGGAGUUUAAUUUCUAACUAGCAAUGUCCUAUGUAUUAAUUCUAUUCUACAUUUGAUGUCAAAUGUCUUCUAUAGAGAGAGAGAGGGGGUAAAAGGGGCAUAACGAAAAAGUGAGGGUUUGUUUUGUCUUGGUAAACAUCCUCCGUGCAAUGAUUGAAACAAUUUGUUUCGUUUUUUGGCUUCUUGUGGUAUUUUGGCCUUUUGGCCUCAUGGACAGAUUUGCCCUUAUUAUCAUAGAUAAUGGCUGUCGGUGCUAGCUAGGGCAAAUUGAGUGAAUAGAGCUAAUUAGUCUUACUGCACCAUUAUUAAAUAUAAAAAAU